AGUUUGUGAGGAGCGUUCGGC
Molecule: microRNA, 21 nt
Filed under: Drosophila melanogaster (fruit fly)
Lineage: Eukaryota; Metazoa; Arthropoda; Insecta; Diptera; Drosophilidae
Description: dme-miR-9373-5p
Source: miRBase by way of RNAcentral